This 518-nucleotide ribosomal RNA is filed under the name uncultured bacterium. Its description in RNAcentral is "bacterial SSU rRNA". It matches the Rfam family "Bacterial small subunit ribosomal RNA", at positions 8 to 521 of the family's 1533-position model. The record is from RNAcentral.
AGAGUUUGAUCCUGGCUCAGAUUGAACGCUGGCGGCAUGCUUUACACAUGCAAGUCGAACGGCAGCACGGGGGCAACCCUGGUGGCGAGUGGCGAACGGGUGAGUAAUACAUCGGAACGUAUCCUUGAGUGGGGGAUAACGCAGCGAAAGUUGUGCUAAUACCGCAUGAGCUCUGAGGAGGAAAGUGGGGGACCGUAAGGCCUCACGCUGAAGGGGCGGCCGAUGUCCGAUUAGCUAGUUGGUGAGGUAAAGGCUCACCAAGGCUUCGAUCGGUAGCUGGUCUGAGAGGAUGAUCAGCCACACUGGGACUGAGACACGGCCCACACUCCUACGGGAGGCAGCAGUGGGGAAUUUUGGACAAUGGGGGCAACCCUGAUCCACCCAUGCCGCGUGAGUGAAGAAGGCCUUCGGGUUGUAAAGCUCUUUCGUGAGGGAAGAAACGGCCAUAGUGAAUAGCUGUGGUUACUGACGGUACCUCAAGAAGAAGCACCGGCUAACUACGUGCCAGCCGCCGCGGU